GCCGCUGCGGCUGCUCUCUUUCGUCCCACAAUGGCGGCUGCGACGCUCCGCUCUGUACUCCGCCGCAAUCGCCUCCUGACCUUGUUCGAAACCUGCCACCUUCGAGAUCGCCUCUUCUUCUCCUCCUCUGUCAACGCUGCCGCCGUCACCGUAGGCGGCACCAUAUCUCCAGAUCCCCACUUCAUGGUGGAAUACCUCGUGAAUUCCUGCGGGUUCUCCCCCUCCGAGGCAGCCAAGUUCUCUAAACCCCUUGCGCACCUCCGAUCCACCGAGAAACCCGACGCCGUUCUUAACUUCAUGAGAUCUCAGGGCUUCGAUGGUGCCGGUAUCAGGAAGGUGAUAUCUUGGAAACCCAAUUACCUAUGCUACAACGUGGAGAAGAACCUCGCCCCGAAGUUUCAGUUCUUACGCGAUUUGGGCCUAUCGGAGUCGGAUAUCGUCGAUGCCAUCCUGAAGAACCAUGGCAUCCUCCUCUUCAACGCUCAGCGUUCCAUCGUCCCCAGAUUGGAGAUGUGGGAAAGUCUCUUGGGAUCGAGAGAGCUCGUUCUCAAGCAUCUCAAGAAGACAAUGCGGUUUUUCCACUCCAGCGUUGAGAAGACAUUGCAUCCUAACCAAAAGUUCUUGAGGGAUGAGUGCGGCAUUCCUGAAGAAAGGCUCUCUGUCGUCUUGAGAAGUCACCCACAAUUAAUCUCACAUAAACCAGAGUCUCUCCGAGCUUUGGUGGCGAGAGCCGAUGAGCUGGGGAUGCCACGGCAAUCUCGGAUGUUCAUUUGGACACUUAAUAUUCUCCAGAGGGUAAGCAAAGAAAGGUUCGAGGCCAAGGGCGAGUUCAUGAGGAGGUUCGGGUGGUCGGAGUCGGAGUUUUCUUCUGCUGUCAGGAAAGCACCCAACUUCAUAGGCAUGUCCCUCGAUAUGUUGCGCAGAAAAGUGGAAUUUUUUAUCAAUGUGGUCGGUUGCACCCCUUCCUUCAUCGCCGACAAAUCAUAUCUCUUGCUAUUUAGUCUGCAGAAGAGGGUAAUUCCUCGGUUUCGUGUCACAGAGAUGUUGAAAUCGAAAGGAUUGUUGACUGGACAAGCCAAGUUUCCAUACAUUCUCGCAUUAUCAGAUACCAAAUUCUUGGAGAAGUUUGUUCUCCCUCACAAAGAAAAUGUUCCUGAGCUGCUCGAUAUUUUGAGAGUUGAGGGCGUGUGUAAAGGAAAAUGAUACCUUUCAUUUGGUAUCGGAGGCUGAGAAAGGCCUUAGCUGAUGGUUUAAUUUGCCAACGACGAAGGUAGAUUGUCCCCUAAUUUGAGAUUUUGGAAAUAGAAUGCAAAGGGCUUAUCAAAAGGUGUACUGAGUAUGCAGUGGCUUCGAUGGAGUUUGAAAGAGCAGUUGCAUUGGGUUGAUCAGGAGUCACCAGCAUUAGUACUAUCUUUGCUUCAAGGUUGUAUGGACUUAAGCAUCAGAACUUGGGUAUGCUAUCAUGAAAUGUCUUCAGCCUCAUUUGGAAUUGCAAAAGCUUUUCCUGCAUCAACAAAUUCUGACUUGCCUCCGGUGGCUUCAGCUCAUCCACCCUUUGUGAUUUGGUUAGCAGAUCUCUUCAUUCUUGGAGUCUGUGGUCUAUGUUUCCCUCGUCAUGAAUGGCUUGGCCCAAUGGAAAGUCAAUUUAGGCAGAA
Molecule: non-coding RNA, 1655 nt
Organism: Musa acuminata subsp. malaccensis (wild Malaysian banana)
Lineage: Eukaryota; Viridiplantae; Streptophyta; Magnoliopsida; Zingiberales; Musaceae
Source: RefSeq, a predicted model, not a curated record